AUUGAACGCUGGCGGCAGGCCUAACACAUGCAAGUCGAGCGGAGCGGCGGACGGGUGAGUAAUGCCUAGGAAUCUGCCUGGUAGUGGGGGAUAACGUACGGAAACGGGCGCUAAUACCGCAUACUAUCAGAUGAGAAGAGGGCGGAUUAGCUCGUUGGUGGGGUACAGGCCUACCCAGGCGACGAGCCGUAACUGGUCUGCGCGGCUGAACAGUCACCCUUGAACUGAUACACGGUCCAGACUCCUACGGGAGGCAGCAGUGGGGAAUAUUGGACAAUGGGCGAAAGCCUGAUCCAGCCAUGCCGCGUGUGUGAAGAAGGUCUUCGGAUUGUAAAGCACUUUAAGUUGGGAGGCGUUACCAACAGAAUAAGCCCCGGCUAACUUCGUGCCAGCAGCCGCGGUAAUAC
Molecule: ribosomal RNA, 407 nt
Filed under: uncultured bacterium
Lineage: Bacteria
Description: partial 16S ribosomal RNA
Rfam family: Bacterial small subunit ribosomal RNA
Source: RNAcentral